Oncorhynchus keta (chum salmon) is the source of this 1084-nucleotide long non-coding RNA. RefSeq lists it as uncharacterized. The record is from RefSeq and is a predicted model, not a curated record. Lineage: Eukaryota; Metazoa; Chordata; Actinopteri; Salmoniformes; Salmonidae. The transcript has 5 exons.
GCAGGUAGUCUAGUGGUUAGAGUGUUGGACUAGUAACCAGGCAGGGUAGUCUAGUGGUGAGAGUGUUGGACUAGUAACCAGGCAGGGUAGUCUAGUGGUUAGAGCGUUGGACUAGUAACCAGGCAGGGUAGUCUAGUGGUUAGAGUGUUGGACUAGUAACCAGGCAGGUAGUCUAGUGGUUAGAGUGUUGGACUAGUAACCAGCAGGUAGUCUAGUGGUGAGAGUGUUGGACUAGUAACCAGGCAGGGUAGUCUAGUGGUUAGAGUGUUGGACUAGUAACCAGGCAGGGUAGUCUAGUGGUUAGAGUGUUGGACUAGUAACCAGGCAGGGUAGUCUAGUGGUUAGAGUGUUGGACUAGUAACCAGCAGGUAGCCUAGUGGUGAGAGUGUUGGACUAGUAACCAGGCAGGGUAGUCUAGUGGUUAGAGCGUUGGACUAGUAACCAGCAGGUAGCCUAGUGGUGAGAGUGUUGGACUAGUAACCAGGCAGGGUAGCCUAGUGGUUAGAGCGUUGGACUAGUAACCAGGCAGGGUAGUCUAGUGGUGAGAGUGUUGGACUAGUAACCAGCAGGGUAGCCUAGUGGUUAGAGCGUUGGACUAGUAACCAGGCAGGGUAGCCUAGUGGUGAGAGUGUUGGACUAGUAACCAGGCAGGGUAGCCUAGUGGUUAGAGUGUUGGACUAGUAACCAGGCAGGGUAGCCUAGUGGUUAGAGUGUUGGACUAGUAACCAGGCAGGGUAGCCUAGUGGUUAGAGCGUUGGACUAGUAACCAGGCAGGGUAGCCUAGUGGUUAGAGCGUUGGACUAGUAACCAGGCAGGGUAGCCUAGUGGUUAGAGCGUUGGACUAGUAACCAGGCAGGGUAGCCUAGUGGUUAGAGCGUUGGACUAGUAACCAGGCAGGGUAGCCUAGUGGUUAGAGCGUUGGACUAGUAACCGCAAGGUUGCAAGUUCAAACCCCCGAGCUGACAAGGUACAAAUCUGUUGUCCUGCCCCUGAACAGGCAGUUAAACCCACUGUUCCUAGGCCGUCAUUGAAAAUAAGAAUUUGUUCUUAACUGACUUGCCUGGUUAAAUAAAGAUAUAAAAAU